Molecule: long non-coding RNA, 822 nt
Organism: Aegilops tauschii subsp. strangulata
Lineage: Eukaryota; Viridiplantae; Streptophyta; Magnoliopsida; Poales; Poaceae
Source: RefSeq, a predicted model, not a curated record
CGCCGCGGAUCCCACGAACGCCGCCGCCGCCGCCGUCGCGGAUCCCACGCCCGCCACCGCCGCUGCGGAUCCCACGGACGCCGCCUCCGCGGAUCCCACGGCGCCACCCCGCCGCCACCUCGCCACCGCUGGUCGCCUGGCGCGGCGUCACCCCGCCGCCACCUCAGCCAAGCGUCGCGCCGCCCCUCCAAACCCUAGCCCGCCCGCUCCGCCCGCCGACGGAUCGCUUCCGCUCCUCCACGUGGCGAGCCGCGGCGACCUCCGCCUCUUCAAGAGGCUGGUGAGAGAUCUGGAUCAGGGCAGGGGCCGUCCCAGGGAGGUGGUGGAGGCGGCCAAGGACCAAGGUCUCGUGGCGCUGCACUUCGCUGCCGGGAAGGGAAGGCCACGGGUGUGCAGGUACCUGGUCGAGGAGCUAGGGGUCGAUGUGGACACCGUCGACGAUGGAGGCACCGGCACCCGGCGGUGCGCUCUCCGGGACUCUGCCACUUGAAGGGGCGAGGAGGAGCUACGGAUGCUAGCGAUUAACAACGUUGUGCAGAAGGCAAGCGCAGGACACUAUUUUGGAUUAGCUUAUAUUUUUCGGGCAAAGUUGUUCAUUUUAUUAACAUGGCAAAGUUCAGACAUUGAUGCAAAACAGCGAUAUGCCUUGAUGCUCGCAGGAAACAGAAACAGAGCUACAUGAGAUAAUUUUCAAGAAGUGUUCACUUAUAAUAUUGAAAUAUGUUUUCAUCAGACUAUUGUCAAGAAUUGUUCAAACCAGACAGUAGCUGUUCGAACAAUAUCUACUUGCAUGACACAUGAGGAUUGUGUAUGACUUGCCCG